Non-coding RNA from Mauremys mutica (yellowpond turtle), 82 nucleotides. The record is from the annotation of a RefSeq genome assembly. Lineage: Eukaryota; Metazoa; Chordata; Testudines; Geoemydidae.
ACUGUGAUGGCCGAGUGGUUAAGGUGUUGGCUUUAAAAUCUAAUAGGGUUUCCUUGCGCAGGUUCGAAUCCUGCUCACAGCG